Molecule: ribosomal RNA, 476 nt
Filed under: Streptococcus sp. oral taxon C65
Lineage: Bacteria; Bacillati; Bacillota; Bacilli; Lactobacillales; Streptococcaceae
Description: bacterial SSU rRNA
Rfam family: Bacterial small subunit ribosomal RNA
Source: RNAcentral
GACGAACGCUGGCGGCGUGCCUAAUACAUGCAAGUAGGACGCUGAAGAGAGGAGCUUGCUCUUCUUGGAUGAGUUGCGAACGGGUGAGUAACGCGUAGGUAACCUGCCUUGUAGCGGGGGAUAACUAUUGGAAACGAUAGCUAAUACCGCAUAACAAUGGAUGACACAUGUCAUUUAUUUGAAAGGGGCAAUUGCUCCACUACAAGAUGGACCUGCGUUGUAUUAGCUAGUAGGUGAGGUAACGGCUCACCUAGGCGACGAUACAUAGCCGACCUGAGAGGGUGAUCGGCCACACUGGGACUGAGACACGGCCCAGACUCCUACGGGAGGCAGCAGUAGGGAAUCUUCGGCAAUGGGGGCAACCCUGACCGAGCAACGCCGCGUGAGUGAAGAAGGUUUUCGGAUCGUAAAGCUCUGUUGUAAGUCAAGAACGAGUGUGAGAGUGGAAAGUUCACACUGUGACGGUAGCUUACCAG